Molecule: transfer RNA, 76 nt
Filed under: bacterium
Lineage: Bacteria
Description: tRNA-Val
Rfam family: tRNA
About the family: Transfer RNA (tRNA) molecules are approximately 80 nucleotides in length. Their secondary structure includes four short double-helical elements and three loops (D, anti-codon, and T loops).
Source: RNAcentral
GGACAGUUAGCUCAGUUGGUAGAGCAUCGCGUUUACAUCGCGAGGGUCACAGGUUCGAGUCCUGUACUGUCCACCA